RNAcentral lists this ribosomal RNA (484 nucleotides) under uncultured bacterium. RNAcentral describes it as "partial 16S ribosomal RNA". It matches the Rfam family "Bacterial small subunit ribosomal RNA", at positions 899 to 1397 of the family's 1533-position model. The record is from RNAcentral.
ACUCAAAGGAAUUGACGGGGACCCGCACAAGCGGUGGAGCAUGUGGUUUAAUUCGACGAUAAGCGAGGAACCUUACCAAGAUUUGACAUCUAGCGAAAGCACCAGAAAUGGAGCCGUGCCUUCGGGAACGCUAAGACAGGUGAUGCAUGGUUGUCGUCAGCUCGUGCCGUGAGGUGUACCCUUAAGUGGGGUAACGAGCGCAACCCUUGCACUAUGUUAAUUUUCAUAGUGGACUGCCGGCGAUAAGCCGGAGGAAGGUGGGGAUGACGCCAAAUCAGCAUGUCCUUUAUAUCUUGGGCGACACACGUGCUACAAUGGGGAGCUACAGAGGGACGCCAAACCGCAAGGUGGAGCGAAUCCUAUAAAACUCCCCCCAGUUCAGAUCGAGGGCUGCAACUCGCCCUCGUGAAGUUGGAAUCGCUAGUAAACGCGUAUCAGCCAUGGCGCGUUGAAUACGUUCUCGGGUCUUGUACACACCGCCCGU